UAGGGAAUCUUCCACAAUGGACGAAAGUCUGAUGGAGCAACGCCGCGUGAGUGAAGAAGGGUUUCGGCUCGUAAAACUCUGUUGUUAAAGAAGAACAUAUCUGAGAGUAACUGUUCAGGUAUUGACGGUAUUUAACCAGAAAGUCACGGCUAACUACGUACCAG
This 164-nucleotide ribosomal RNA is filed under the name uncultured bacterium. Its description in RNAcentral is "partial 16S ribosomal RNA". It matches the Rfam family "Bacterial small subunit ribosomal RNA", at positions 355 to 511 of the family's 1533-position model. The record is from RNAcentral.